Camelus ferus (Wild Bactrian camel) is the source of this 72-nucleotide transfer RNA. It matches the Rfam family "tRNA". Rfam says of the family: Transfer RNA (tRNA) molecules are approximately 80 nucleotides in length. Their secondary structure includes four short double-helical elements and three loops (D, anti-codon, and T loops). NCBI's taxonomy places the organism in Eukaryota, Metazoa, Chordata, Mammalia, Artiodactyla, Camelidae. The record is from Rfam.
GAGAGUAUAGCUCAGUGGUAGAGCAUAGGCUUAGCAUGCACGAGGUCCUGGGUUCAAUUCCUAGUACCUCCA